UGUUUACAAUAUUAAAGAACCACUUAUUCCUAUUAAGUGGUGAUUUUGAUUUUACUUAUUUUUUUUAAAAAAAUUCCAUAUAUAACUAAUUAUUAAUAAAAAUCAACACACACAUCUAUAAUCCACUAGUAGCAGUUAAUCACCUCUUAUUCAAAAAUAAAGGUAAAACCCGUAAUAUACUAUUCUUUAAUUACUUAAUUGUACUUUUAAUUUACUUCAUCAUUAACAAAUUGCCGAUGCAAGCGUAUAACUUCUUGACUUCUUCCAUCUUCCCUCAAAUACGCACUACCCGAGCAAAAAAAAAAAAUUGCACAUACACCCGCCUGAAUUUGCACCACAGUCGCCGGCAAUCGUCGCAUUUACCUCGCCGGCCAAUUCGUCUGCGCCAGUGGAGUCGUCUUUGCCGUCGUCCAAUUACCCGAUAGAACAAGAGUCGUCUUUGUCCGCCAUUGUUCCAUUACCACAACCACGCCACAGCCACGCCACAACGACGCCAAUUCGUCCGCCAGUAUACUGGAGGGGGAUGCUUGUGACUUUGUUGGUUUGAGUGAAUGGUCAAAUGCCUACCCAAAAGUACAGAUGAAAAUGCAAAUGCAUUGCAAAUCAUCUUCUCAGGAUCCUAGUUGGCUGUACUUUGGCGGAGUUACAACUGAAUUUUCUCAAAAUGAGCUUGAUGAGUUAAGAGACUUGUGGAUCAAAUAUGUGGAUGAAUAUAAACAAGUGGAUGAAGAAGAUUCGGAAGAUAAUGACGAUUUUAAUUAGUAUGUGUGUAUUUUCUUUUUGAGCGGGAUUACGAAGGUGCUUCUAUUUUUGUGCAUAGGAAUUGGAAGAGACAGGCUUAGGUGUUCUAUUAUUUUUUUAUAACUUUGUUAAAUUUUUGGAAUCUUUUAACAUUAUAUUGAUAUGCAUGUGAUUUUUGUAGUAAAUGAUAUUGAAUGAAUGAAAAGGUAUUCCAAUUUUAAAGUCA
Beta vulgaris subsp. vulgaris (sugar beet) is the source of this 967-nucleotide long non-coding RNA. RefSeq lists it as uncharacterized. Lineage: Eukaryota; Viridiplantae; Streptophyta; Magnoliopsida; Caryophyllales; Amaranthaceae. The record is from RefSeq and is a predicted model, not a curated record. The transcript has 4 exons.